AUUGAACGCUGGCGGUAUGCUUUACACAUGCAAGUCGAACGGCAGCACAGUCAUAGCUUGCUCUUCGGGGUGGCGAGUGGCGGGCGGGUGAGGAGUACGUCGGCAUCUACUUUUUCUUGGUGGGUAACAGCGGGAUAAUUACGCCAAUCCCGCAUACGAUCUACGGGUGAAAGCAUGGGACCUUGGGACCUUGCGCGAUUGAAUGGGCCGAUGUCGGAUUAGCUAGUUGGAGGGGUAAAGGCCCACCAAGGCGACGAUCCGUAGCUGGUCUGAGAGGAUGAUCAGCCACACUGGAACUGAGACACGGUCCAGACUCCUACGGGAGGCAGCAGUGGGGAAUAUUGGACAAUGGGCGAAAGCCUGAUCCAGCAAUACCGCGUGGGUGAAGAAGGCCUUCGGGUUGUAAAGCCCUUUUGUUGGGAAAGAAAAGCAGCAGGUUAAUACCCCGCUGUUCUGACGGUACCCAAAGAAUAAGCACCGGCUAACUACGUG
This 492-nucleotide ribosomal RNA is filed under the name uncultured bacterium. RNAcentral describes it as "partial 16S ribosomal RNA". It matches the Rfam family "Bacterial small subunit ribosomal RNA", at positions 30 to 507 of the family's 1533-position model. The record is from RNAcentral.